AGCGAACGCUGGCGGCAGGCUUAACACAUGCAAGUCGAGCGGGCACUUUCGGGUGUCAGCGGCGGACGGGUGAGUAACGCGUGGGAACGUGCCCUCUGGUUCGGAAUAACUCAGGGAAACUUGAGCUAAUACCGGAUACGCCCUUUUGGGGAAAGGCUUGCUGCCGGAGGAUCGGCCCGCGUCUGAUUAGCUAGGUGGUGAGGUAACGGCUCACCAAGGCGACGAUCAGUAGCUGGGCUGAGAGGAUGAUCAGCCACACUGGGACUGAGACACGGCCCAGACUCCUACGGGAGGCAGCAGUGGGGAAUAUUGGACGAUGGGCGCAAGCCUGAUCCAGCCAUGCCGCGUGAGUGAUGAAGGCCUUAGGGUUGUAAAGCUCUUUUAUCCGGGACGAUAAUGACGGUACCGGAGGAAUAAGCCCCGGCUAACUUCGUG
This 435-nucleotide ribosomal RNA is filed under the name uncultured bacterium. RNAcentral's name for it is "partial 16S ribosomal RNA". It matches the Rfam family "Bacterial small subunit ribosomal RNA", at positions 29 to 507 of the family's 1533-position model. The record is from RNAcentral.